AAAUUGAAGAGUUUGAUCAUGGCUCAGAUUGAACGCUGGCGGCAGGCCUAACACAUGCAAGUCGAACGGUAACAGGAAGCAGCUUGCUGCUUCGCUGACGAGUGGCGGACGGGUGAGUAAUGUCUGGGAAACUGCCUGAUGGAGGGGGGUAACUACUGGAAACGGUAGCUAAUACCGCAUAAUGUCGCAAGACCAAAGAGGGGGACCUUCGGGCCUCUUGCCAUCGGAUGUGCCCAGAUGGGAUUAGCUUGUUGGUGGGGUAA
This 263-nucleotide ribosomal RNA is filed under the name Escherichia coli. RNAcentral describes it as "partial 16S ribosomal RNA". It matches the Rfam family "Bacterial small subunit ribosomal RNA", at positions 1 to 260 of the family's 1533-position model. Lineage: Bacteria; Pseudomonadati; Pseudomonadota; Gammaproteobacteria; Enterobacterales; Enterobacteriaceae. The record is from RNAcentral.